RNAcentral lists this ribosomal RNA (723 nucleotides) under Gammaproteobacteria bacterium. Its description in RNAcentral is "bacterial SSU rRNA". It matches the Rfam family "Bacterial small subunit ribosomal RNA", at positions 1 to 716 of the family's 1533-position model. Lineage: Bacteria; Pseudomonadati; Pseudomonadota; Gammaproteobacteria. The record is from RNAcentral.
AAAUUGAAGAGUUUGAUCAUGGCUCAGAUUGAACGUUGGCGGCAGGCCUUAUACAUGCAAGUCGAACGGUAACAGCAGAGCUUGCUCUGGCUGACGAGUGGCGGACGGGUGAGUAACGCGUAGGAAUCUACCCAGUAGCGGGGGAUAGCCCGGGGAAACCCGGAAUAAUACCGCAUACGCCCUACGGGGCAAAGGGGGCCUCUUCUUGAAAGCUCUCACUAUUGGAGGAGCCUGCGUUGGAUUAGCUAGUUGGUGAGGUAAUGGCUCACCAAGGCUACGAUCCAUAGCUGGUCUGAGAGGACGAUCAGCCACACUGGAACUGAGACACGGUCCAGACUUCUACGGAAGGCAGCAGUCGGGAAUAUUGUCCAAUGGGGGAAACCCUGAGACAGCCAUGCCGCGUGUGUGAAGAAGGCCUUAGGGUUGUAAAGCACUUUCAGUAGGGAGGAAUUAGCGCGAUUAAUACUCGCGUCAAGUGACGUUACCUACACAAGAAGAUCCGGCUAACUCCGUGCCAGCAGCCGCGGUAAUACGGAGGGAUCGAACGUUAAUCGGAAUUACUGGGCGUAAAGCGCGCGUAGGCGGUCUGUUAAGUGGGAUGUGAAAGCCCCGGGCUUAACCUGGGAAUUGCAUUCCAAACUAAUAGACUAGAGUACGAUAGAGGGGGGUAGAAUUCAGAGUGUAGCGGUGAAAUGCGUAGAUAUUCUGAGGAAUACCGGUGGC